AAACAAAGAUCAGAUUUCAGUAUACGCGGUGAAGGAUUUUGUUUUCUCGCGAUCAGUUGCUUUGCACUAAAAUCAGUUGCUUUGCAAAAAUCUUAACCCACGAUCCUCAAAUCCCUAAUAUUGGAAAUCGAAUUCCUUCAAAGUUCAAACCCUAAGGAAUCCAUAGAAACCGUUCAUGUUCAUCUUCCUCCAAUCUAAUUGCUUGAACCCAACUGUUAACCCUAAUCUCCAAGAACCCAGAAAUCACUGUGAGCCCAACCCAUAACCCAUAAAUCCUCUUCUCUCCACCAUAUACCCAGCAAUUCAAUUUUUUGGAAGUCGUACUUGUUCAUCGUGGUGCCGUCACAACUCAAACCGUGGUUAUUAAGUAUUUUUCUCGCCAUAGACAUUCUACAUACUCUAAAGAGAAGCUAGAUGAGGUGAAGGAGGAGUGGGCUACCCAUAUGGUUGAAGAUGUUAUCAAUGAUGCAAAGAGACUGCAAAAAUAAUAGUUGAUCAUUAAUUGGUAGUUUGAGGGCUUCCUUUUUCGAUGAAGUGGGCGGUUCUCAUCAAGUGACAGGUCGCGGAAGAAAGUAGGGCUAGAGUUUGACUAUCUUUUGUAGUGGUUUUUGUGUUUUGUACUAAAAUUUGUCAUUGAUUUUCUCAUUAGAAGCUAUGGUCAAAGUUUGACAAUAUCUCUUUUGUAGUGGUUUUUGUGUUUGCACUAUUCAAUUCGGAUUUGUCUUGUAGUCGGAUUGAUUUUAUUUAUGAAAUGAAUGUAUUACAAGA
This is a long non-coding RNA of Trifolium pratense (red clover), 768 nucleotides long. RefSeq lists it as uncharacterized. The transcript is spliced from 3 exons. The record is from RefSeq and is a predicted model, not a curated record. NCBI's taxonomy places the organism in Eukaryota, Viridiplantae, Streptophyta, Magnoliopsida, Fabales, Fabaceae.